GUUUCACGAGUUUGAUGAAAGGAACGAAAUUAACUGGUUUUUACGAUUCUUGACGAAUCCAGACAAGGGACUACGGACAAAUAUCGAUGGCAAAUAACGGCGGCGUGCGGUUUCGAUGACCGCGAGAGUAUUGCACAUUAGCCGACCAGUCGAGAGGGACUUGGCCGCGUGAACUGACCAGUAAGGACAGGCAGUCGUUGCUUUGACUGUCGUUAAAUUAACCACAAUUACCAGCGAGGCCUACACGCACGCGCCUUCCUCUCUGUACGCCUACUGUGUAUAUUACCGACGUUUAUAUGUUCAUACACGUCUUUUACAACGACGCAUCUUUAUACAAACAUGAAACCUAAUCUGUCGAACGUUGUGAUCUUUAUUUUGAUAGAACAAAAUGUAUCAUACGUAACUCGAUAAAAUAAUAUAAAACGGAAAAUGUUGUGCAUUCAUUAUUUCCUUAUAAAACGAAAAAAACUUUUCGGACGACCUAAUACAUGAUUUUGCAAUCAAAUGUUUUGAAAGCAG
This 519-nucleotide unclassified non-coding RNA is filed under the name Bombus terrestris (buff-tailed bumblebee). RNAcentral describes it as "misc RNA ENSBTSG00005034702.1". The record is from RNAcentral. Lineage: Eukaryota; Metazoa; Arthropoda; Insecta; Hymenoptera; Apidae.